GGCUCAGAACGAACGCUGGCGGCGUGCUUAACACAAGCAAGUCGAACGCAAAGGGACUUCGGUCCUGAGUAAAGUGGCGCACGGGUGAGUAACGCGUAGAUAACCUGUCUUCAUGUCUGGAAUAAUACGCCGAAAGGGGUACUAAUACCGGAUAUUCUUGCUUUUCAUAAGUUAUGCAAGCAAAGGUGGCCUCUGCAUAUGCUACUGCAUGAAGAGGGGUCUGCGUACCAUUAGCUAGUAGGUGGGGUAAUGGCCUACCUAGGCGACGAUGGUUAGCGGGUCUGAGAGGAUGAUCCGCCACACUGGCACUGGAACACGGGCCAGACUCCUACGGGAGGCAGCAGUGAGGAAUAUUGCGCAAUGGGGGAAACCCUGACGCAGCGACGCCGCGUGAGUUGAGGAAGGCCUUCGGGUCGUAAAGCUCUGUCAAGAGGAAAGAAGUGUACAAUGGCUAAUACCUGUUGUAUUUGACGGUACCUCUAAAGGAAGCACCGGCUAACUCCGUGCCAGCCGCCGC
RNAcentral lists this ribosomal RNA (517 nucleotides) under uncultured bacterium. RNAcentral describes it as "bacterial SSU rRNA". It matches the Rfam family "Bacterial small subunit ribosomal RNA", at positions 21 to 518 of the family's 1533-position model. The record is from RNAcentral.